Molecule: long non-coding RNA, 693 nt
Filed under: Ricinus communis (castor bean)
Lineage: Eukaryota; Viridiplantae; Streptophyta; Magnoliopsida; Malpighiales; Euphorbiaceae
Description: long non-coding RNA (RCOM_LNC002326)
Source: RNAcentral
AUAAAAUAAAACUCAAGAAAUUGAAUAAUUGAACUUGUUUAGGAACUCCUAUUGUACUUGAAAUGAGUACGGAAUCAAAUACAAUUGACAAAAAAAAAAGGAACAAAAAAGAAAUUAAAAAACAAAAAGAAAGAGGGGAGGGGAUUAAAGAAGGAAGAUCAUUGUGAGAUUUGAUCAAAGAAUAUUUAUGCAAUAAAAAUUGCAAGCAGCUGCUGUUGUGUGUAAAAGCAACAAGGGAUUAAGGUGGCUCUGAUCACAUGGAGCCCCAUAUGCCCAGCACACAAAAUCCCCUCGCACAAUCCCAAUGACCCUCUCUGGUUUCCUUCUUGGAAACACCACCGCCACUGCCACCGCCACUUCCUCCCCACCUCCACCGUUUUGCUCCUGGUUUGACAUGAAUCCAGAAAUGGAAGAAAAAGGCGGGGUUCUAUUUGUGGGGCUCAAGGUGGGUCCCUUUUGAAAAGUGCUACGUGGCACUCAUGCCAUUGCUAGUAGUGAUAUGGAUCAUAGGAGAGAGAGGGGGGAAGCACAUGGGUGGUGUUAGGUUCAAGAAAAUCAUGUGAUCACAUGUGCUUCCUCUUCCCUUUGUUUUGUUUAGUGGACCCUUAUCCUAACAGGACAGUGAUCAUCCGGACAAGGGAAAAAGAAAUUUUGAUUUCAAUCACUCGAUCUGCGCGUCUGAUUCUAAACCUG